RNAcentral lists this ribosomal RNA (245 nucleotides) under uncultured Mogibacterium sp. RNAcentral describes it as "partial 16S ribosomal RNA". It matches the Rfam family "Bacterial small subunit ribosomal RNA", at positions 524 to 769 of the family's 1533-position model. Lineage: Bacteria; Bacillati; Bacillota; Clostridia; Peptostreptococcales; Anaerovoracaceae. The record is from RNAcentral.
UACGUAGGGGGCAAGCGUUAUCCGGAAUUAUUGGGCGUAAAGCGUGCGUAGGUGGUUACCUAAGCGCAAGGUUUAAUCUUGAGGCUCAACCUCAUUCUGCCUUGCGAACUGGGCUACUUGAGUGCUGGAGGGGAAAGCGGAAUUCCUUGUGUAGCGGUGAAAUGCGUAGAUAUAAGGAAGAACACCGGUGGCGAAGGCGGCUUUCUGGACAGUAACUGACACUGAGGCACGAAAGCGUGGGGAGC